Molecule: long non-coding RNA, 841 nt
Filed under: Parus major (Great Tit)
Lineage: Eukaryota; Metazoa; Chordata; Aves; Passeriformes; Paridae
Description: lncRNA (ENSPMJG00000002348.1)
Source: RNAcentral
UUUCUUAACAAUCUCCUAAAUAUGUCUGCAUUGGUUUUGUUUAUUAGGAUUCAGCUUGAUUCUGAGUUACUACUUUUACAAUCAAAAAUUGCCCAGGAAAAGAAGGAUUUCAAUAAUGAACCUGUAAAGGAGUGGAUACGAGGUUUACCCAACUUCAGAGUCUCAGAGGGAACAAGAACAGGCAGUGCAGCACUUGACAUUGAAGUCCUGUGCAGAAGUGAGUUCAGAAUCCUGUGUUGCUUCACAUCCUGGGCCCAGUUUCAUUCCUUUGUUUGGUUUUAUUUCCUGGGUAUCAUCUUGUUUCUCUGUUCUCCAAGUCUCCCAACCUGCAUAAAUUGUUCCUGCCCUCCCUCUCUGUGCUUUUACCUACUGCAGCAAAACAAGAGGGAUGUAUUUUUCCACUGAAAAGUCAUUUAACUUGUGACUUGUGCUUCUUUGGCCCUGACUGAGAUGAAUUCCACUAUGCUGAGAGAUGCACAUACAUCAAAUUAGACUUUUUUUUGGCCAGAGCUGCUCGUGAUUAUAUUUAAGUGCUCAUCAGGAAUAGGUGAGUGAAGUUCAAAUCAGCUUCAGUUCCCAAAAUAGCCAGGCUGGGUGAGGCUCAGGGCUGGUCCUCCCAGGAUCCUGUCUUCUGCAGUGAUCAAUAGUCCUCCUUGGAGGAGUAAUGCAAGAACAGUCAAAUAUAGAAUGACCCUUCUUCUGUAUAACCUCCAUGACAAAUGGAGUGUCAGGAACUUCUCUGGGUGAGGAUGAUAUCUGCAUUUUAAUAGCUUUUGAUGGAAUUUUAUGCUAUGCUGGAUCUUCAGUGCAAUAUUCUCCUAUCACUGACUGACUCUUUUAG